GAUGAACGCUGGCGGCGUGCCUAAUACAUGCAAGUCGAGCGAACGGACGAGAAGCUUGCUUCUCUGAUGUUAGCGGCGGACGGGUGAGUAACACGUGGAUAACCUACCUAUAAGACUGGGAUAACUUCGGGAAACCGGAGCUAAUACCGGAUGAUAUUUUGAACCGCAUGGUUCAAAAGUGAAAGACGGUCUUGCUGUCACUUAUAGCUGGAUCCGCGCUGCAUUAGCUAGUUGGUAAGGUAACGGCUUACCAAGGCAACGAUGCAUAGCCGACCUGAGAGGGUGAUCGGCCACACGGGAACUGAGACACGGUCCAGACUCCUACGGGAGGCAGCAGUAGGGAAUCUGCCGCAAUGGGCGAAAGCCUGACGGAGCAACGCCGCGUGAGUGAUGAAGGUCUUCGGAUCGUAAAACUCUGUUAUUAGGGAAGAACAUAUGUGUAAGUAACUGUGCACAUCUUGACGGUACCUAAUCAGAAAGCCACGGCUAACUACGUG
Molecule: ribosomal RNA, 497 nt
Filed under: uncultured bacterium
Lineage: Bacteria
Description: partial 16S ribosomal RNA
Rfam family: Bacterial small subunit ribosomal RNA
Source: RNAcentral